This 373-nucleotide ribosomal RNA is filed under the name uncultured bacterium. RNAcentral describes it as "bacterial SSU rRNA". It matches the Rfam family "Bacterial small subunit ribosomal RNA", at positions 525 to 896 of the family's 1533-position model. The record is from RNAcentral.
ACAUAGGUGGCGAGCGUUAUUCGGAAUUACUAGGCGUAAAGCGAGUGUAGGCGGGCGCUUAAGUCCGUUGUGAAAUCUCCCGGCUUAACUGGGAGGGGUCAAUGGAUACUGGGUGUCUUGAGUGUGGUAGGGGGCAGUGGAAUUCCUGGUGUAGCGGUGAAAUGCGUAGAUAUCAGGAGGAACACCUAUGGCGAAAGCAGCUGCCUGGGCCAUUACUGACGCUAAGACUCGAAAGCUAGGGGAGUAAACAGGAUUAGAUACCCUGGUAAUCCUAGCUGUAAACGAUGCUGACUAGGUGUGGGAGGUAUCGACCCCUCCCGUGCCGCCGCUAACGCAUUAAGUCAGCUGCCUGGGGAGUACGGCCGCAAGGUUA